RNAcentral lists this ribosomal RNA (431 nucleotides) under uncultured Pelagibacterales bacterium. RNAcentral describes it as "bacterial SSU rRNA". It matches the Rfam family "Bacterial small subunit ribosomal RNA", at positions 387 to 835 of the family's 1533-position model. The record is from RNAcentral. Lineage: Bacteria; Pseudomonadati; Pseudomonadota; Alphaproteobacteria; Candidatus Pelagibacterales.
UGCAGCGAUGCCGCGUGAGUGAAGAAGGCCCUUGGGUUGUAAAGCUCUUUCGUCGGGGAAGAAAAUGACUGUACCCGAAUAAGAAGGUCCGGCUAACUUCGUGCCAGCAGCCGCGGUAAUACGAAGGGACCUAGCGUAGUUCGGAAUUACUGGGCUUAAAGAGUUCGUAGGUGGUUAAAAAAGUUGGUGGUGAAAUCCCAGAGCUUAACUCUGGAACUGCCAUCAAAACUUUUUAACUAGAGUAUGAUAGAGGAAAGUAGAAUUUCUAGUGUAGAGGUGAAAUUCGUAGAUAUUAGAAAGAAUACCAAUUGCGAAGGCAGCUUUCUGGAUCAUUACUGACACUGAGGAACGAAAGCAUGGGUAGCGAAGAGGAUUAGAUACCCUCGUAGUCCAUGCCGUAAACGAUGUGUGCUAGACGUUGGAAAUUUAUU